Molecule: ribosomal RNA, 549 nt
Filed under: uncultured archaeon
Lineage: Archaea
Description: bacterial SSU rRNA
Rfam family: Archaeal small subunit ribosomal RNA
Source: RNAcentral
CGGGGUGCACCAGGCGCGAAAACUUUACAAUGCCGGCAACGGCGAUAAAGGAACCUCGAGUGCCAGGUUACAAAUCUGGCUGUCGCGAUGCCUAAAAAGCAUUGCAUAGCAAGGGCCGGGCAAGACCGGUGCCAGCCGCCGCGGUAACACCGGCGGCUCGAGUGGUAACCGUUAUUAUUGGGUCUAAAGGGUCUGUAGCCGGCCGGAUAAGUCUCUUGGGAAAUCCGGCAGCUCAACUGUCGGGCUUUCAGGAGAUACUGUCUGGCUCGAGGCCGGGAGAGGUGAGAGGUACUUCAGGGGUAGGGGUGAAAUCUUGUAAUCCUUGAAGGACCACCAGUGGCGAAGGCGUCUCACCAGAACGGACCUGACGGCAAGGGACGAAAGCUUGGGGCACGAACCGGAUUAGAUACCCGGGUAGUCCUAGCCGUAAACGAUACUCGCUAGGUGUCGGCCACGGUGCGACCGUGGUCGGUGCCGUAGGGAAGCCGUGAAGCGAGCCACCUGGGAAGUACGGCCGCAAGGCUGAAACUUAAAGGAAUUGGCGGGGGA